This 245-nucleotide ribosomal RNA is filed under the name Escherichia coli. RNAcentral describes it as "partial 16S ribosomal RNA". It matches the Rfam family "Bacterial small subunit ribosomal RNA", at positions 1299 to 1533 of the family's 1533-position model. The record is from RNAcentral. Lineage: Bacteria; Pseudomonadati; Pseudomonadota; Gammaproteobacteria; Enterobacterales; Enterobacteriaceae.
UGGAGUCUGCAACUCGACUCCAUGAAGUCGGAAUCGCUAGUAAUCGUGGAUCAGAAUGCCACGGUGAAUACGUUCCCGGGCCUUGUACACACCGCCCGUCACACCAUGGGAGUGGGUUGCAAAAGAAGUAGGUAGCUUAACCUUCGGGAGGGCGCUUACCACUUUGUGAUUCAUGACUGGGGUGAAGUCGUAACAAGGUAACCGUAGGGGAACCUGCGGUUGGAUCACCUCCUUACCUUAAAGAA